GUGAAUGUUUGUGUGACUCCAAGCGCUCUGUGUGCGGACGACAGGUGGACAUGACAUGACUGCACUGGAGAGGAAGAAAGCAAAGGACCUACGUGGUCAGCAGGUGUUCCUGCGCCCCGAGGAGCGACGCUCCACCACGGUGUCCGCACAGCUGCAGGAUGCUUUGCUGCGGCUGGCGGCGG
Long non-coding RNA from Pseudoliparis swirei, 182 nucleotides. RefSeq lists it as uncharacterized. The transcript has 3 exons. The record is from RefSeq and is a predicted model, not a curated record. Lineage: Eukaryota; Metazoa; Chordata; Actinopteri; Perciformes; Liparidae.